This 366-nucleotide ribosomal RNA is filed under the name uncultured Glomeromycotina. RNAcentral describes it as "LSU rRNA". The record is from RNAcentral. Lineage: Eukaryota; Fungi; Glomeromycota.
UUGAAAGGGAAACGAUUGAAGUCAGUCGUACCGACGAAAAAUCAGCUUUUCGAAUGUGCACUUGUGGGCGUAUGAGAUCUUCAUUGCUUGCAAUAUGUAUGUUUCUUUGGUGUACUUUUUCGUAUGGUAGGUCAACGUCGGUUUUGGUCGCCAUAAAAUGAUCGGAGGAAUGUAGCUUCGACCUCGGUUGAAGUGUUAUAGCCUUUGGUAGAUGUGGUGAUUAGGACCGAGGAUUGCAACGAAUACCUUUUAGGCUAUUCGUCUGACCUCUGAAAGUUACUUAGGUGCCGAAAGCUUGCUUACGGUCAUUUAAGUUGACGGUCAAUAGGUUAGAACGUGAUUACAUUCGUUAAGGAUGUUGACGUA